AUGUUCACAUAUGUGGCUGCUAUUUAUCUUGUUAUGUGUGGCUGCAUAUUGCAAAGUUGUGUGGCUAGCAUAUACAAAUGCAUAUCUAUCUUCUAUCAUCAAUUCUGCAGGUUUGUUGCCUUCCGGUUUGGAUGCAUCAUGACAAAAUGUAGCGACCAGACCUCAAAUGGCCUGUGCUGCUGUGCACCAGUGUCAUCCCUGGAUCAGUAA
This 210-nucleotide ribosomal RNA is filed under the name Triticum aestivum (bread wheat). RNAcentral describes it as "partial small subunit ribosomal RNA". Lineage: Eukaryota; Viridiplantae; Streptophyta; Magnoliopsida; Poales; Poaceae. The record is from RNAcentral.